AUGCUGAAGCAAUGAUCUCAUCUCUUCCUGUAUUCUCCCGCUAAAUAUUGUGGAGGAGGCCUCAUGUCACCUUAGUGACAGUGGGCGAUGAUCAGUAAUGAAGCUAAAAGGUCACCGAACACUGAGGUGCUGUGAUGGCUGGAUCCAGAGCAGUCAUAUGAGAGCAUGAGAAAAAGCACCAUUUGGAAGAUGGCCAAGGAAAAGAGUAAAGAGUCUGGAUGUCUGAUAGUCAUGAAAACUUCAUAUCUGACCUGGAGUGUUUGCAUAUACACCCCUGAGGGAAGAGAGGAAAUAAAAAGCACGUUGCCAACCUUUUCACUGAGUGAAGUCUACUGUGUGAUUUCUACCUAUUUCUAAUCCGUGAACCCUGCUGAAGAAAAGCACACGAGCAAACAUAUGAGUAAUAUCUUACAAGCCUCUCUACAAAAUAAAUCUCCCACCCUCUGCUAUGCUAAAAGAAGAGUCAUGAACAAGCUGAUCAGUAAUGUUUUACCUGAAGCUGCAGAGAAUCCUGUGAAGAAUGUAUAAUCAUCGGCAUUUUGCUUACUUCCACACCAACAGAAGGAAAUGUACACGUCUACGCCCUGAAGAAUUGACUCUGUUCUGUAAAUGACAUAUGGGAGAAUCCUUUUGGAAAAUAAAUACUCCUGUUUUCAUGCUGAA
This is a long non-coding RNA of Leopardus geoffroyi (Geoffroy's cat), 663 nucleotides long. RefSeq lists it as uncharacterized. Lineage: Eukaryota; Metazoa; Chordata; Mammalia; Carnivora; Felidae. The record is from RefSeq and is a predicted model, not a curated record. The transcript has 4 exons.